RNAcentral lists this ribosomal RNA (463 nucleotides) under uncultured bacterium. Its description in RNAcentral is "partial 16S ribosomal RNA". It matches the Rfam family "Bacterial small subunit ribosomal RNA", at positions 28 to 507 of the family's 1533-position model. The record is from RNAcentral.
GAUGAACGCUGACAGAAUGCUUAACACAUGCAAGUCUUUGGCUAAGCUGUGCUUGCACAGCCUAGCCAAGGCGGACGGGUGAGUAACGCGUAAGGAACUUGCCCUGCAGUCAGGGAUAACAGACGGAAACGACUGAUAAGACCUGGUAAAGUCAGGCGGACUCAUGUCCAGCCUGAUGAAAAGAGAUGCUGCAGGAGAGCCUUGCGUCCUAUUAGCUUGUUGGUGGGGUAACGGCCCACCAAGGCGAUGAUAGGUAGCCGGCCUGAGAGGGUGGACGGCCACAAGGGGACUGAGAUACGGCCCUUACUCCUACGGGAGGCAGAAGUGGGGAAUAUUGGACAAUGGGGGCAACCCUGAUCAAGCAAUUCUGUGUGCACGAUGAAGGUUUUCGGAUUGUAAAGUGCUUUCAGCAGGGAGGAAAAAAAUGACGGUACCUGAAGAAGAAGCGACGGCUAAAUACGUG